RNAcentral lists this ribosomal RNA (247 nucleotides) under uncultured bacterium. RNAcentral describes it as "partial small subunit ribosomal RNA". It matches the Rfam family "Bacterial small subunit ribosomal RNA", at positions 26 to 285 of the family's 1533-position model. The record is from RNAcentral.
AGAAUCAACGCUGGCGGCGUGCCUAACACAUGCAAGUCGAACGAGAAGGUGGGAGCAAUCCCACGAGUAAAGUGGCGCACGGGUGAGUAACACGUGACUAACCUACCCUUGAGUGGGGGAUAACCUAGGGAAACCUGGGCUAAUACCGCAUAAUACCUACGGGUCAAAGGAGCAAUUCGCUUUAGGAGGGGGUCGCGGCAGAUUAGUUAGUUGGCGGGGUAAUGGCCCACCAAGACAGUGAUCUGUA